UGAUUCAAGUUAUUGUAUUGCGGAAGCGUUUGAAGACUAUUGAGUUGUAGAUUGAGAGUAAUCAAACAGAGUCUGUAAUUGUAUUACAGAGUGUGUGAUCGUGUGUAAUUAAACUAAACUAGAUGUGUUUAUAUAGAAGAACACCCAACGGCUAUGUUGGUUGGGUGUAUUUAAUUAUGGUAAUUAAUGUAUAUGGGAAUAUGAAAUAUGGAAUUAAUAUAUGAUGGAAUAUUUGAUAUGGGAAUAUGAAAUAAAGAAUGUGAAGAGUUGUGAUGAAAUAAGAGGGUGUUAAUUAUAAUUUUGUUGUAAUGUUAUAUGUGUGAUUUAUUUUAAUGUAGGGGUGUAUCUCUAAUAUCCUCCCUCAAAUCAAAACCGUCCAGGGUUUGAUUUAAAUAUGUAGGUGCAAUAGGGUGUUUGAGUGAAUUAAUUGGGUUUGAAUUUUUGGUGUGUAUAUCGAUUAGG
RNAcentral lists this long non-coding RNA (462 nucleotides) under Zostera marina. RNAcentral's name for it is "long non-coding RNA (ZMAR_LNC003569)". Lineage: Eukaryota; Viridiplantae; Streptophyta; Magnoliopsida; Alismatales; Zosteraceae. The record is from RNAcentral.